GCGAUACCAAACUUUAUGGAGGACAUUUUCCCCUGCACUAUUUAAUAACGUAUUUUAAAGGUAUAUAUAUGUCCGUGUGGACACAUUACUAGUUAUAGUGAUGCAAUAUUUAUGAUGUCCAGGUGAACAUAUAUAUCAUAUAUGUCUUUAAAAUAUGCUAUUAAAUAGAUUAGGGAGGUAAAAGGUCCUUUCCAAAGUUCG
RNAcentral lists this unclassified non-coding RNA (201 nucleotides) under Hevea brasiliensis (rubber tree). The record is from RNAcentral. Lineage: Eukaryota; Viridiplantae; Streptophyta; Magnoliopsida; Malpighiales; Euphorbiaceae.